This 25475-nucleotide long non-coding RNA is filed under the name Lactuca sativa (garden lettuce). RNAcentral describes it as "long non-coding RNA (LSAT_LNC006490)". Lineage: Eukaryota; Viridiplantae; Streptophyta; Magnoliopsida; Asterales; Asteraceae. The record is from RNAcentral.
UGGGGCUAGUCCUAUCGGUAAAGAUGACGACGACGCUCAAACGUCGAGUUAACGUACCAAAAGUUCAUCCAGUUCAUCCGCCUCAUGGGUGAUUUCCUCCACUUUUUGCUCGGCUCGCGUAGCCCUUGCCUUGGCCAUGAUGAGUUAAAGCUUUAGGCUGAUAACUGUCUCCUCGAGAGCGCGUAGGUAGUCCGUAUCCACCCCUUGAAACAUGCAGAAUUUUGGCGGGACUUCCAACUGGUGAGGUCCACUACACGCCUCCUAUACGCCCUUUUCCUCGCUUGCCUCCUGGUCCAACUCAUCAUAGUCGAAAUCAACCAUCAUGUAUUCGUCCUGUUCCUCUUCAGGUCCAUUGGCGUGCACCUUUCCUUGAUCUACCUCUGGCUCAUCCUUGAUCUUCUCGUGGGCUACUAAGACCUGAUGUAAGUGAAUACCCUGCUGUUCUCCCUCCAUGAAGACUGGGGGAAGGUAUAAACUAUCGUUACUUCUAUGACUCUAUAACUAUGAUAUAGACUAAACAGACGUUCUCUCUUUGGUGAUAAAGGGGUUUGAUUUUAGGUUCCCAGGCUAUCGCGAUCUCAUCAGAACAUGUGUUAGUUAUACCUUGGAGAGAAUGUAGUUGAUCAGGCUACAUCCACUCCUUGAUACCACUAAGAACAGUCCUGAAUUAACCGGGAUACUAGCGUUAUCUUGUUUGGUUCGGCGUUAUGUUCUUAUUCCUAAUGCAAGCAAGGGUGUUUUAUUGUAGUGUUUUACUUGUUUUGUUCAGAGUUGUGUCAGUCCCUCUUUUGGUUUAUAGUUGCAUAUCAAUGUGUGGCUAGAUAUGCUAGUUCAUUAUAAACAAAGCUCUGAUACCAACCUGUCACACCCCCGAACCAGACGGCGGAAACGUCCGAGGGCUGUUAUGACUCAAUUGAAUACCAUCACAGUGAAUAUACAUGAAACAUAACACCAUUCAUCACCAUGCAUUGAAAUAGUACAACUGGUAGUGUUUACAUUUAGUACAUUGUUUCAUAACAUUACAUUCCCAAAAAGUAGAUUGUUCGAUACUAGUUUAACAAACAACAAGACAUCACUGAGUACAUUUUCCCUUCGAUUUACCUGUUACCUGAGAAUACAAGUAUUUUGAAAAACGUCAACAUAUGAAAUGUUGGUGAGUUCAUAAGUAAUGUUUGAAAUAUAAUGUUUUGUAUUGUUUUGAAAACCACCAGAAAAUCCGAUAUUUUUGAAAAGAGUAUCGUGUAAAAAGUGUGAAGAUCCGUAAGUAUGCUUGUUUGUUUCUAUAAAUGUAAAAAAAAUGGUUAGACCUGGUAUGAAUCUUGUAGGUGUAUGAAUUGAAAACCCUAGGAAAACCCAAUGUUUUCCUAAUACUUUGAAUUACGCAUUUUGUAUUUUGUUAUACCGUUGUGACGUGUGUAUUCGAUAAUUCCAGGUGACAUUGGAUUAAUUAUGGAUUGUGAAUUGUUAUAAACACGCAUUAAUGAAAACGACUAGUUUACAACUAUACAAACGAUCCCUUAGGCGUCGUCCGUACUAUUCACUUAAUCCAACCACCCUAACUUCUCAUAGCCCCACAACCGAGGAGAAAAGAGGGUGCGAAGCCCCCGCUAUUUCCAUAAGUCGUUCAAGGCUAUCGUGAAUGCGAAAGGCCCUUGGCCCGACUCACAUUGGUGAAUUCUCGACUUUGCUAGCAGUACCAAAAGACCCUUGGGGCCCAACAGCACAAAAGCCAUUGAAAGUCCUUUUACAUGGAAUUAGGUCAUAUAAGACCCAACAACAUGUAAGCGAGUUUCCUUCGGGCCUAAAGAUCAUGUCAUUGGGCUAGCUAGGCCCAACAAGCACGAUUUGAAACUUUCGGGCCCAAAGAUGGUGUAUCGACGUCUGGUGAAUUCCCGCGUGUGUAUUGACUUCCCGUAAUUUCAGCGUGUGUAUUGUAGUAUCGUCGUGUAUAGAUUUUUGAUUCAUUAUUGAUUCGAGACCGAAUCAAUUCGUUUGGUAACGAUUUUUGGUGUUGAAGGUGUAUUAUGUUUCGUCGGUAGUCGUGGUACUAGUAUUUCAUCAUAACGGAUUUAUUGUUUAAAACAUUAGAAUUUUACUUUUUGCAGCCCCUUUCUUUUGGAUAAAUUUACACUUUUGACCCUUUGUAUAAAAGAAUUUCCAUUUUAGUCCUUAAACCAUUUUUCUUGACACUUUAGUAUCAAAACUUGUUGAAAAGGUAUUUUUCAGCUCAAAUUUAUUUGAAAAACAGUUUUAGUCCCUCAGAAUGAAGUUUUCUCGGCUGAAACCUCUAUUUUCGCAAUUUUUACACUUUUGGCCCAAAAUAGAAAUUUUUUGCAUCUUUGGUCCCUUUUAAAUAUGAAAAGUAUUUUUAACCCUUGAAAUGGACUUGGAGCACUAGUAGUCCCCUGUUUUACAGAAAAGUACAGUUUCAGCCCCUCUAAUUUGAAAAUCUCGCAAUUUGGGCUUUAUUGGGCCGAAAAGUUCAUUUUUGGCCCAUUAUGCUUAAAAAUUCACAUUUUAAUCCUUCAAAAGAGUAAAUUUCCAGAAAAUACAUUUUUGAAACUGUUUUGACUCAUCUCAACCAUCAGAAUUUGCAUUUUGUCAUUUUGGGCCCUUUGAAUUUAUAUUUUCAACAUUUUGAGCCCAAAAAUGGGUUUUUAGCCCAAAAAUGUUCAUAUUAACCAACUUGGUUAUUUUUCUAGAAAUGAUUUGUGUGUAAUAAUAUGAUUUAUACUUGUUUCAUACAACCUAAUGUAAAUCUCGGUUUUAAGGACUUUUUGACUAGAUCCAACACCACAAUCACAUAAGAACAUAUAUAUAAACAUAGAAAUCACACAAGGCAUACAUAUACUCAUAGAUCUACACAUUUGCUUGUAUUCCCCCCCCCAAAACUUAUAAAACCAAAAAAUAGGGGGUAUGAAGCUCACCUUUGGGUGUGGUUUCGGUUUUGGAGAAGAGAUGGAAGAAAAUGAGAUGAUUUUCGGCCUAAGCAACCUUUCCUUGGAAGAUCUCGAAUUUAGAGAGUUUCUAGGAGAGUGAUCAAAAUUUUUUACAUGGAUUAGAAGAAGAUUUUGAUAAAACAAAGUACCAAAAUCAUAGAUCUUAACUUGAUCUUACCUUAAGUGGAGAAUUUGUGGAGAUAUUUUCUUGAAAGCUCCUUAGAUCUCGAAAUUUUUGAAGAAAGAGUGAGGGGAUGUUCUUCAAGACUUAGAGAGAAUGGAGUGAAUUUUUGUGAGUGUGUGUGUGUUGUGUUCGGCCGAGAGCAAGAGGGAGAGAAAGAAGUAGAUCUUGAGGUGACAUGUGCAUGGAAGUAUGAGAUAGGUUGCAUGGAGAACCAACAUGCAAAAAUGAGGUGGCUAUGAAAGUCAACUCUUCCUUCUUCAUGGGCUUGGGCCGAAAUUUGAAGAGAAAAAAAAGAUUUUUGGGCUUUAUUGCCCCUAAGCCCAUACUAGAGUUAGGUUGAAUGAUUGUUGGCCCUAUAAAAUAUAAGUGUGAUUUUUAUACUUUGUUAGGCUAGUUUAGGUCAAUUAUGGUUCAUAAUGGUUCAUAAUAUUUAAUUUAUUUCAUUCUAGGCCCAAUAUGGCCCAAAAUGUUGAAAUAAAUGAAAGUGGGUCCAAUUAGAGCCCAUUUAAGGAUUCUAAGCCCAAGAUAGUCAAAUUGGAAGCUUAUUGGUCCAUUGGGCCCAAUAAGGAAGUCCUAGUCCAAAAUGGACCUAAACAAGAACUUCUAGGGUUUCCCAUUUGCUUGUUGACUAUUUGUAAUGCUUGUAUGGUGUAUUUGAUUGCAAAUUUUGAUGUCAUAAAGUAAGCAUCAUACAUGCUCUUAAGUUUUUGAUUCAAAAUUUUACUUAUGUGUUGUAGUUACAAGGCACAAAAUUUCUAGUUGUGACAUCAUCCCCCCGUUAGAGGGAAUUUCGUCCCGAAAUUCUGUUUGAAAGCUAGAUUUGAGAAUGCUAGAAUAGGUGAGGGUACUUUUGCUUCAUUUGAUCUUCGCGUUCCCACGUGAAUUCUGGCCCACGCUUCGCGUUCCACCGUACUUUCACGAUCGGGAUGCGACUUUGCUUAGUACGCUUCACCUCCCUGUCCAUGAUUUCAACCGGUUCUUCAACGAACAGGAGAUUCUCGUUGAUUUCGAUCUCGUCAAGGGGAAUGACGAGUGUUUCAUCCGAUAGACACUUCUUUAGAUUAGAGACAUGGAACACGGGGUGUACACUGUUUAGCUCUGCGGGUAGUUGCAGUUUAUACGCCACUGGACCUAUUCGGGCGACGAUCUCGAAAGGUCCAAUGUAUCGUGGGUUCAGUUUUCCCCGUUUUCCGAAACGAAUGACUCCUUUCCAAGGUGAGACUUUUAACAGUACUCGAUCCCCGACCUGAAACUCUAAGGGCUUUCGCCGUUUAUCGGCGUAGCUCUUUUGUCGGUCGCGCGAUGCUUGUAAUCGAGCUCUGAUUUGAACUAUCUUUUCUGUGGUUUCACGAAUGAUCUCCGAUCCCGUUAGUGCCUUGUCCGAUGUGAGUGCCUUUGCUAGCUGGGUUUCGCCCACCUCAGCCCAACAUAACGGUGAUCUACACUUACGCCCAUACAGUGCUUCGAAAGGAGCGACCUUGAUGCUCGAAUGGUAACUGUUGUUAUACGAGAAUUCGACUAAAGGUAAGUGGGUAUCCCAAGACUUCCCAAAGUCUAUCACACAUGUGCGAAGCAUGUCUUCGAGCGUUUGAAUGGUUCGUUCGCUUUGACCAUCCGUUUGUGGAUGAUAAGCGGUGCUCAUGUCGAGAUGAGUUCCCAGUGCUUUCUGGAGUGAUUGCCAAAAACGUGAAGUGAACCUACUGUCUCUAUCCGAGAUAAUAGACACUGGUACUCCGUGGAGUCUCACGAUUUCUCGAAUAUAUAAUCGCGUCAGUUUCUCCAUCUUGUAGGAUUCCUUUAUUGGCAGAAAAUGAGCGGAUUUUGUCAGUCGGUCGACUAUUACCCAUAUGGUGUCUAAUUCGUCCGAUGUCUUGGGCAGCUUGGUCACAAAAUCCAUAGAAAUCCCUUCCCAUUUCCACUCCGGAAUCACCGGUUGCUGUAAUAACCCCGAGGGCUUCUAGUACUCUACCUUUACCUUGGCACAAGUAAGGCACUUACCAACAUAGGUGGCAAUUUCUGCCUUCAUGUUAGGCCACCAAUAGUAUUGUUUAACAUCUAAAUACAUCUUGUCCGAACCGGGAUGGCUGGAUUAUCGCGUCUUGUGAGCUUCCUUCAUGACUACCUCCCUAAAUUCUCCGAGUUUAGGGACCCAAAUACGGUUCAUGAAAUAGUAUACUCCGUCCUCUUUUGCCUCUAGAUUCUUCUCCAUUCCGCGUAAUGCUUCGCUUACUCUGUUUUCUGUCUUCAUGGCCUCUGAUUGGGCUACUCCAAUCUUAGUGGUUAAGUGAGAUUGGAUGGUUAUUGAGAGUGUUUUCGCACGACGAUUAGAGUACUCCUUCCGGCUCAAUGCGUCAGCUACCACGUUGGCCUUGCCCGGGUGGUACUUGAUUUCACACUCGUAAUUGUUUAAUAAUUAGACCCAUCUUCUUUGCCUCAUAUUCAGCUCUUUUUGAUUCAAGAUAUGCUGGAGACUUUUGCGGUCCGUGAAGAUGGUGCACUUCGUACCAUAAAGUUAAUGCCUCCAAAUCUUCAGAGCAAAGACCACUGCUCCCAAUUCCAGAUCAUGGGUUGUAUAAUUUACUUCGUGUGUCUUUAGUUGGCGGGAUGCAUAAGCUAUCACUCUUCCACGCUGCAUGAGAACGCAACCUAAGCCUUGAUUCGACGCGUCACAGUAGACCACGAAAUCUUCCGUUCCCUCCGGUAGAGAUAGUACCGGGGCACUACAGAGGGCUUGCUUCAGGGUUCGGAAUGCAACCUCUUGCUUGUCCGUCCAUUUGAAUGAUACGCCCUUUUGCGUAAGUGAGGUAAGUGGCUUGGCGAUCUUAGAGAAGUUUUGAAUAAACCUCCUAUAGUAGCCUGCUAGACCUAAGAAUUGACGAAUUUCCGUGGGUGUUGUCGGGACGGCCCAUCCUUCGACGGCUUUGACCUUGGAAGGAUCCACAUGAAUUCCUUCUUGACUAACAACAUGACCUAGGAAGUUCACACUACGGAGCCAGAACUCACACUUGGAGAGUUUUGCGUAUAGCUUUUCCGAUCGCAGAGUUUCUAGAAUUUGUCGGAGAUGUUGACCAUGCUCUUCCUCGCUUCGGGAAUAGACGAGAAUGUCAUCAAUGAAGACAAUGACAAAGUUGUCGAGGAAUGGUCGACAGAUUCGGUUCAUCAGAUCCAUAAAUGCGGCAGGAGCAUUUGUUAGACCGAAGGGCAUUACGACAAAUUCAUAAUGUCCGUAACGAGUUCGGAAAGCGGUUUUAGGAAUAUCCUCUUCCCGGACUUUGAGUUGAUGGUAUCCGGACCGUAGAUCUAUCUUAGAAAAGUAACUAGCUCCUUGGAGCUGGUCAAAUAGAUCGUCGAUUUGUGGGAGUGGAUAGCGAUUUUUGACAGUGAGUUUAUUUAACUCUCUGUAAUCGAUGCACAUCCUAAAAGAUCCGUCCUUCUUUUUGACAAACAGGACCGGAGCUCCCCAUGGCGAGUAACUAGGUCGGAUGAAUCCCUUGUCCAGGAGUUCGCUGAGUUGACUGGACAAUUCCUGCAUCUCAGCAGGAGCUAGCCGAUAGGGCGAUUUAGCGAGAGGGGUUGCUCCUGGAACGAGGUCAAUUCGGAAUUCAACUUGCCUUUCUGGGGGUACUCCAGGAAGAUCUUCAGGAAAUACGUCUGGAAAUUCACGUGCUACUGGAAUAUCUUGAAUGUUAGUCUCUUCCUUGGUUUUAUCCACUACGUGAGCCAAGAAUGUCAAAUCUUUCUUUCGUAGAUGCUUUUGUGCCUGGAUGCACGAGAUGAGGCGAAGGUUCAUGCUAGGUUUGUCUCCGUAAAUAACUAGCGUUUCGUGACUAGGAAGGCGAAGACGAACAGCCUUCUCGUGACACAUGAUUUCAGCAUGGUAGAGGCUUAACCAGUCCAUGCCAAUAAUCACAUCGAAACUCCUAAUGGACACAGGCAUUAAGUUUAUUCGAAAGACGUGUUGGUUCAGGGUUAGGGUACAUCCAAUGUAGAUUUCCCCCGUGGAUUCUGUUUUCCCAUUGGCCAUUUCCACCGUAAAGGUUUCAUUGAGCUUCUGGGGUUGUUGAUUUAAUAAAUGCUUAAACUUAUUGCUUACGAAACUUCGCUCCGCUCCGGUGUCAAAUAGGAUGCAUGCAUAAGUGUGGUUUAGGGGAAACGUACCGGUAACGACUGCGGGAUCCUGAAUUGCUUCCCCCUGACCCAUGGCCAGCACCCUUCUCGUUCCUCCAUUUCCAGGAUUGUUGUUGUUAGGGCAAUCGCGACGAAAAUGCCCAGUCCUUCCACAUCUGUAGCAGGCGUGGCUGGGUCCUACAUUGUUGCCGCCAUUGUUGGUGUUGUUGUUGCUUCCUUGUUGAUUCCGAGAGGGAUAGGCUCUGCAAUAUUCUGCUGUAUGACCAUUUCUAUUGCAAUUGAUACAAUGCAUCUCCCUGCAUUCGCCAUGAUGUUGGAAACUGCAUUUGUUGCAUCUUGGAAGACUUCCAGCAUAUGUUCUCCCUUGUGCUGGUGUAGUAACUAUCAUGGGAGCAUCGACAACAAUAACAUGUUGUUUCUUCAAGGAUCCUUGAGUUGGCUGUCCUUUCCUCUUAUUCCCCGACGCUCGCUUACUGCUCUUACGCUUGGGGUUCAGAGUGUCUUGAUCUACGACCACUUGUUGGUUUCUGUGGUUAUUACUCCGACUGGUGUUAUCGACGUUAUUUCCUCCUCUUUUGGUGUUGUUGGCGUUGAGUUGUGCCAUAGCAACAGUUACUGCAGCGGUGAAAACAACUUGGAAUGUAGUAAGGUCCACUUGCAAGAGUGGUGCUUCACGGGUGUGCUCGUUAUUUCUAUGGAACGACAUCUUCUACUGCAUGUUGAUAAGCGGGACCGUGAGUAACGACGACUAUUUCUGGUGGUGCUCUGUAAUUUUUCGCGUUUUGUCGUAUGGUUCACAAUGUUUCGAUCUAUAUCCUUAUGGUGUGUUUAUGUUCGUUUGAGCACAUAAGCGAAUCCUCAUAUUAAAACACAUAGCAUUUCUACUAGAAAUAGCCAUUUUUCUUUUAUGCAGGAAAAUUUGCCUAAAUUACAAACAUUCCGUAAGAAAACGUAUGAUCCGGCAGUAUUACGACAUAACAUCCAUAGAAACAUAAUACUAGUAGGAAGUACGGUUGGUUCUACAUAUUGUAGAAUAUAUAAUAGCAAGUAGUGGGGCUAAUCCUAUCGGUAAAGAUGACGACGACGCUCAAACGUCGAGUUAACGUACCAAAAGUUCAUCCAGUUCAUCCGCCUCAUGGGUGAUUUCCUCCACUUUUUGCUCGGCUCGCGUAGCCCUUGCCUUGGCCAUGAUGAGUUAAAGCUUUAGGCUGAUAACUGUCUCCUCGAGAGCGCGUAGGUAGUCCGUAUCCACCCCUUGAAACAUGCAGAAUUUUGGCGGGACUUCCAANUGAGGUCCACUACACGCCUCCUCUACGCCCUUUUCCUCGCUUGCCUCCUGGUCCAACUCAUCAUAGUCGAUAUCAACCAUCACGUAUUCGUCCUGCUCCUCUUCAGGUCCAUUGGCGUGCACCUUUCCUUGAUCUACCUCUGGCUCAUCCUUGAUCUUCUCGUGGGCUACUAAGACCUGAUGUAAGUGAAUACCCUGCUGUUCUCCCUCCAUGAAGACUGGGGGAAGGUAUAAACUAUCGUUACUUCUAUGACUCUAUAACUAUGAUAUAGACUAAACAGACGUUCUCUCUUUGGUGAUAAAGGGGUUUGAUUUUAGGUUCCCAGGCUAUCGCGAUCUCAUCAGAACAUGUGUUAGUUAUACCUUGGAGAGAAUGUAGUUGAUCAGGCUACAUCCACUCCUUGAUACCACUAAGAACAGUCCUGAAUUAACCGGGAUACUAGCGUUAUCUUGUUUGGUUCGGCGUUAUGUUCUUAUUCCUAAUGCAAGCAAGGGUGUUUUAUUGUUAUGUUUUACUUGUUUUGUUCAGAGUUGUGUUAGUCCCUCUUUUGGUUUAUAGUUGCAUAUCAAUGUGUGGCUAGAUAUGCUAGUUCACUAUAAACAGAGCUCUGAUACCAACCUGUCACACCCCCGAACCAGACGGCGGAAACGUCCGAGGGCUGUUGUGACUCAAUUGAAUACCAUCACAGUGAAUAUACAUGAAACAUAACAUCAUUCAUCACCAUGCAUUGAAAUAGUACAACUGGUAGUGUUUACAUUUAGUACAUUGUUUCAUAACAUUACAUUCCCAAAAAGUAGAUUGUUCGAUACUAGUUAAACAAACAACAAGACAUCACUGAGUACAUUUUUCCCUUCGAUUUACCUGUUACCUGAGAAUACAAGUAUUUUGAAAAACGUCAACAUAUGAAAUGUUGGUGAGUUCAUAAGUAAUGUUUGAAAUAUAAUGUUUUGUAUUGUUUUGAAAACCACCAGAAAAUCCGAUAUUUUCUGAAAAGAGUAUCGUGUAAAAAGUGUGAAGAUCCGUAAGUAUGCUUGUUUGUUUCUAUAAAUGUAAAAAAAAUUGUUAGACUUGGUAUGCAUCUUGUAGGUGUAUGAAUUGAAAACCCUAGGAAAACCCGAUGUUUUCCUAAUACUUUGAAUUACGCGUUUUAUAUUUUGUUAUACCGUUGUGACGUGUGUAUUCGAUAAUUCCAGGUGACAUUGGAUUAAUUAUGGAUUGUGAAUUGUUAUAAACACGCAUUAAUGAAAACGACUAGUUUACAACUAUACAAACGAUCCCUUAGGCGUCGUCCGUACUAUUCACUUAAUCCAACCACCCUAACUUCUCAUAGCCCCACAACCGAGGAGAAAAGAGGGUGCGAAGCCCCCGCUAUUUCCAUAAGUCGUUCAAGGCUAUCGUGAAUGCGAAAGGCCCUUGGCCCGACUCGCAUUGGUGAAUUCUCGACUUUGCUAGCAGUACCAAAAGACCCUUGGGGCCCAACAGCACAAAAGCCAUUGAAAGUCCUUUUACAUGGAAUUAGGUCAUAUAAGACCCAACAACAUGUAAGCGAGUUUCCUUCGGGCCUAAAGAUCAUGUCAUUGGGCUAGCUAGGCCCAACAAGCACGAUUUGAAACUUUCGGGCCCAAAGAUGGUGUAUCGACGUCUGGUGAAUUCCCGCGUGUGUAUUGACUUCCCGUAAUUUCAGCGUGUGUAUUGUAGUAUCGUCGUGUAUAGAUUUUUGAUUCAUUAUUGAUUCGAGACCGAAUCAAUUCGUUUGGUAACGAUUUUUGGUGUUGAAGGUGUAUUAUGUUUCGUCAGUAGUCGUGGUACUAGUAUUUCAUCAUAACGGAUUUAUUGUUUAAAACAUUAGAAUUUUACUUUUUGCAGCCCCUUUCUUUUGGAUAAAUUUACACUUUUGACCCUUUGUAUAAAAGAAUUUCCAUUUUAGUCCUUAAACCAUUUUUCUUGACACUUUAGUAUCAAAACUUGUUGAAAAGGUAUUUUUCAGCUCAAAUUUAUUUGAAAAACAGUUUUAGUCCCUCAGAAUGAAGUUUUCUCGGCUGAAACCUCUAUUUUCGCAAUUUUUACACUUUUGGCCCAAAAUAGAAAUUUUUUGCAUCUUUGGUCCCUUUUAAAUAUGAAAAGUAUUUUUAACCCCUGAAAUGGACUUGGAGCACUAGUAGUCCCCUGUUUUACAGAAAAGUACAGUUUCAGCCCCUCUAAUUUGAAAAUCUCGCAAUUUGGGCUUUAUUGGGCCGAAAAGUUCAUUUUUGGCCCAUUAUGCUUAAAAAUUCACAUUUUAAUCCUUCAAAAGAGUAAAUUUCCAGAAAAUACAUUUUUGAAACUGUUUUGACUCAUCUCAUCCCUCAGAAUUUGUAUUUUGACAUUUUGGGCCCUUUAGUUUCAUAUUUUUAGCAUUUUGAGUCCAAAAAUGGGUUUUAAGCCCAAAGAUGUUCAUAUUAACCAACUUGGUUAUUUUUCUAGAAAUGAUUUGUGUGAAAUAACAUAAUUUAUACUUAUUUCAUACAACUUAAUGUAGAUCUCGGUUUUAAGGUCUUUUUGACUAGAUCCAACACCACAAUCACAUAAGAACAUAUAUACAAGCAUAGAAAUCACACAAAGCAUACAUAUACUCAUAGAUCUACACAUUUGCUUGUAUCCCCCCCCCCCACAAAACUUAUAAAAACCAAAAAAUAGGGGGUAUGAAGCUCACCUUGUGGUUUGGAUUUGGUUUUGAUGAAGAUUUGAGAGGAUAUUUCGGCCCUAGCAACUUCUUGAGGAAGUUUUCGAACUUAGAUGGUUCUAGGGAGUUAGACCAUAAAUUUGCAUGAGUUAAGAUGAGAUGUUUGAUAAAACAAGGAACCUAGAUCAUAGAUUUAAGUAUAAACUUACCUUGGAUGAUGAUUUUUGUGGAAAAAUCUCUUUGAAAAGCUCUUAAGUCUCGAAAAUUUGAUGAAGGAAGGUGAGGAUGUUCUUUGAGAGAGUUGGUUUAAAAAAAUUGGAUGAAGUGUGUAUGUUUGGGAGGCUCUCGGCCAAAUGAAAAGAGAGAGGGGGAAGAGAUGAGCUUGCCUUGAUACAUGAAACUAUGCAUGGAUACAUGGGAGAUAAUACUUAGAGAUAUGUUGGAUAUUAAUGAGGUGUCAACUUAAAAGUCAACUCUCUUAAUUUCAUUCUCUCUUUCCUUUUUCUUUUUUGUUUAUCCCACUUGGGCCGAGAAUUAGAGAAAGAGAAGUGAGUUUUGGGCCUUAAAGGCUUAAUCCUAAUUACUUGAUUAUGUUGAGUGAUUUUUGGUCCUAACAAAUAUAAGUGUGAUUUUUAUGACCUAUUAGGGCUAAAUUAGGCUAGUUAUGGCCUAAAAUGGUUCAUAUAAUUGAUUUAUUUCAUUCUAGGCCCAAUAUGGCCCAAAAUGUUGAGAUAAAUGGAAGUGGGUCCAACUAGAGCCCAUUUAAAGGUUCUAAGCCCAAGAUGGUCAAAUUGGAAGCUUAUUGGUCCAUUGGGCCCAAUAAGGAAGUCCUAGUCCAAAAUGGACCUAAACAAGAACUUCUAAGGUUUCCCAUUUGCUUGUUGACCAUUUGUAAAUGCUUGUAUGGUGUAUUUGAUUGAAAUUUUUGUUGUCAUAGAACAAGCAUCAUUCAUGCUCUUAUGUUUUUUAUUCAAAAUUUUACUUAUGUGUUGUAGUUACAAGGCACAAAAUUUCUAGUUGUGACAGUUUUACAAAAACUUCCCAAUCUUAGUUACUUUCGGCAAAAGUGAAUUGAUGCAAUUCCAUGAAAUUACACUUUUUACCCUUGCUAAGACGUUAGUGGAGCGUGUGUGGUUAACCGGCACACUAAAUGGGUUCUAUGCAAAGGUAGCAAAGCGUGACUCGAUGUUUGUCAUAGUUCGGUGGAGCAUGUGUGGUUAAACGGCACAUGGAAUAGAUGACUGUAACAUUGGGGGCACCAUGUAAGUUUGCAUGGUUAUUCACACCCUGUUUUGUGAUCCUCAGCAUCCCAGUCACAAAUGGAGGGGCAUAUCGAGAUUUACACAUGACGUUGAAAGGUUCAAUGAAUCUCAAAGGAUCUAGGAGUUUUCAAUACAUUUAAAACUUAAUCUCUUUUUUGUUUUUCAUGGUGGAAAAUUAGUGAAUCGUCAUUCACUUACCUUCAAAUGUUCUGCAAUUUGGGUUACGGCAUCCAUCUGCCAAGUUGUAUAGUAUUGUGUUGGGUCUUAGCCUUAAUAUCUCAUUUGGGUGUUUUAUUAAGGACUCAAUCAAUCAACUAACUUGAAUUUUUCUCCCGUUUUGUAGAUGUCAAAGUAUGACAACUAUGAUCUUCCCAAAUCCCGUGGAACAAGCUUUCCACAUGAAGAUGAUAUUCCACGAUUCGAUCGAGGAACACGAGAUCACGCUUCACCUCCUCCACCUCCUCCUAUUGUUCUCCCUAACCCACAAGUUCAAAGGCUUGAAAAGUUCAAGCUCACUCAAGCCCUUUUGGAAAGUAAACAUGAAGAAGGAAAGUCAGUGUGUGCAUACGUUUGAAAGAUGAAGUCACACAUUGAUAGGUUAAGAAUGUUGGGAGUCGUUGUCUGUGAGGAACUGGCUGUUGACUGGGUUCUUCAGUCGUUUCCUGACUUAUAUAGUGAGUUCGUAAGAGAGUACUAUAUGAUAGACCACGACGUGACCCUCAUCGAUCUCACCUAUUUACUUAUUGUUGUUGAAUAAGCGAUGAUUUGGUGCACUGGAAAAGCAAAGUUGCUUGGUGGAUCUGCCUUCCAGACCUCUAUGGAUAUAGGCAAUGGCAACGAAAGGCAUGCCAUGGUCGAAAAGUUUGAUCAUAAGAGAAAGGUAAAGUCUGAAGUAGUUCCGUGUGUUGUUCCAAAAUAGUCAAUUUGCUUUUAUUGCCAAGAGAAGGGGCAUUGGAGACAAAGCUGCCCAGUCUACCUGAAAGUUCUAAGAGAUGGGAGUGUCAAGAUGUUUGGCUCUACUUCAGGUAAAAUCCACUAUCUAACUCCAUUAAGUUCCUAUUCAUUGAUUCUUAAUACAUAAUGUGAUAAGAUUACAUUUGAAUGUUUUGCAGGAUCAGAGAAAAGAGAGGAAGCUUGAUGGAAGAGCAAGAUGAGUCUGAUCACGAAGAAAUGGAUCACGAUCGCAUGGAUUCGAAGAUCAGAUUUUGAGCUUAGAAAGUUAUGAUAGAUUUGUUAAGAAUAUUUGAUUACAUAGUUUUUCAGUUGAUUUUGCAUUGUAAGGACAUGUUUUCCGCUGCUUUUAUUAAUAAAAUAAAUUUUUUGAUUUGUCUUAUUUAUAUAUAUCCUUGCAAUGAAAUCGUUAUGAAAAUUAACGUUUGUGUAUUUCUAUAAGUGGGUGUGAUUCUUAGUUAUGUUAUUUGUGGUAGUGUCAAAAUUUUCUACGUACGGAAAGAUUCCGAUCACCCAAGUUUCAAUUGGACAGAAACUUGGAAUCAUACAACUUGUAUUGUGUGAUGUAUGGAAAUCUUGGUACUUAGGAAAUUAAGACUAAUUCCUUGAUCACACAAAUAACAAUGUUGUGUAAAGGACUAGAAUACAAUGUUGUGCACUAGUCAAGUCCACCACAAAUAACAAUAAGACUAUUCAUCAUAAUUUACUAAAAGUCUAGUAAAUGUGGUUAUACUUACAAGAUUAAGUGUAAUUCUGAAUCAUUGAAAGGUUUCAAUGAAUGACAGAACGAAUAAGAAGAAUCAAUUAGGCAGAAAGAUAAAAGUUUCUCCAAUCUAAGAAGAAGGGAGAGUACUUUUGUAUCGGGUUCUAUGAUCAUCUUAAUGAUUAAGAACCAUAUCACAAUUGAUCCUCUAAGGACAUCUUAGUGCACUAGUAUGGCUAAGAAGAGGAAUCGGAAAUUGUUGAAAUGGUUAAAUCAAAAGGAUGAGUCAUACUUCGUUCCAAAAUCAAGUCUUAGAAUCGUACUCCAAGAUUGUGAAUUGAGUGACACACACUCAUCAAAUGUGAAGUAGAAAAUUGUUUUUCUUACUCUUGCACGUUUGAAAUUGGUAAUUGUGAUGUCUUGAAUAAGACAAAGACCAACUAAUACCAAUUAUGUGUAGUGUUUGUCUUGAUAACAAUCCGCACUAAUUCUUGAAUAUUUGUUUGUCAAGAACUGUUUUCUUGACAAGAGAAUCUUAUAUGUCAAGAGGUCAGUGGGAGUCUAAAUGAUCUUGAAAAGUUUCAAGAACUAAUCAAGAGUAAACCUAUUAUUAAACACUAGCACACGACUUGAGGAUUGUAACCUAUCGUGUUGACAAAAUUCUGUUUCUGUGUCAAUCCAGUUGAGUGAUUAUGCAUAUGAGUUCUACGAGUUCUCAAUGGACUGCGUAAGGCAAGAACCUUGUUCAAUGAAAGUACAUUGAUUGGCAUGGGUGAGCUACUAGAUAACUUGGAAACAAUGGUGGGACCCUUGAUGGCAAGAAAUUAAGAAUGAACAAGUCCUGUCCAUAAGAGUUUGAAUUUGUCACAAACAUUAUCGUUCGAUUAUGGUUAUGGCAAAUUCACAUGGAUAGGAACACAUACACCAUAAAAUCUAAGUGUCAUAAGGUUUCUCUCCUUCAUGAAAAUGAUUGUGAGGAAACGCUUUCACUAAGAGAGAUUUUAAGGAGAUAGCGAUUAUGUAAAUUGCAUUCUCAAAUUCGAUUAUGAUUACGACAUCCCUCUUCAUAGUUCGAAUUGUGAGAUUUGGCAAUUAGUCUGAACAUUUGGGACUUGGUAAUAUAAGUUCUGAAUUAGUUUAGAAACACAUGUGAGUUAUCUAAGGAAAGGUGUGUGAGUUUCAGAAGCUUAAAUAAAAAGCUUAUCGAAGCACAUCGUAUUGGAAAUAUGAACUUUGGAAGUCAAUAAGAAUUGUCUUUUAAAAGUCCAACUAUUUUUUGAAUACGUGUCAAAGCUAAUGGGAGUAUAAAUGUUAUGCUGGAACAGAUAUAAUCAUCAUGUUAGUGGGAGCAUGAUUAUUAUUUAAGUAUUGCAAGUUGGAAAUAUUAAUUACAGAAAAACAAAAGGUUUCACUUUGCAAAGUUGCAGGGGUUGAAAAGUUAUUUUUGCUAUAAUUAAGGGAGAGAAUGUUAUACUACGUUUCCAAUCUAAAAGCUUAGAUCGAUAAAUUUUAAUUGAAUUUAGUCAAGGAUAUAUUUAUUAUUUGCAUUCUCAAAGUUCGAUUAUGAUUAUGGCAUCCCUCUUCAUAGUUCGAAUUUUGAGAACACGACAAAUAGAAAUAUUAUGGAAAUAUUCGACCGUUCUAAAAUUUUCCAAAUGCCUAGGGCAUUUAGAGAAAAAAAGGGAAUAUAACUGGAUUUGACUAAAAUAAUUAAGCGACUGUUAAGGACAACCUAAGGUUCGCUAAGGAUUGGUCGCUUGAGGACAGUUGGAAGUAUAGUCAUGGAUGGACCAAAUUGACAUUAUUAUGAAUAGAUAAGAUUCUAUUUAGAAUAAGUUGUCAUAUGGAAAAUAUGGAAAUGUUUCCAUAUUAGGAGUUGGAUAUCGAGAAUCAAUGUCUAGAUUAGAAACUUUUAUGCAAGAAGGAUGUUCAUAGGAAUGUAUCUUAAAUGUGAGACUUCAUGACUAUGGAAUUGUCUUGUAACAAUCUCCAAUAGAGUACUUUGUAAUUUCAUUGGCAAAGUCUUGGUGACUUUGGCGCUGUGAUAUUACGAAAUGACCGUUGCAUAAAAUGUUAGAAUCUAACAUAUUCUAGUAGUGGCGAGAAUUUUGUAUUCUUACACUAAUGGAUUAGGAAUUAUGAAAUGAGCAUCAUUGGAAAUGUGUUCAUAUGAUCUAUUUCACAAAGUAAGGACCAUAGGUAAACAUAGUGUGCAUGCUAAGAGCAUGGGACAAUUGUUGUUAUAAUUCAAGUAAGAAGUUGGUUACCCGAAACAACAAAUAAUGAGUAAUCAAUGUGGUGAAUAAACAAAAUGUUUUAUUUAUACUCAAAGGUUUGGGACCAUAUAGGAUUAGUAUUAUUCUUGUGUUUCACUUUGCAUGUUUUGACUUCCCGAAUAAUAAGAUUAUUCAAACCCUCCACAGUCGCUCAUUCUUUGGAAGUAGGAAUGAAAGAAGAAUGUCAUGAAUCUAACUGUAGAUUGUCUAAAGUGUUUUAGACAUAGCAAAAGUUUGUUGCAGGGUUUGUGAGUGCUGCUAUAAGAUUAGAGUAUUGGAUUAAACCCAUGCUCACUUAGAUCGUUUCAUGGAUUUUAUCUCGAGUGAUUGGUGAGAUGAUAAUAUCUUAUAUUAUUGAAACCGAGAUGUGUGAGUUGUAUCUUGCGAGUCGGUUACACAUUGAUAAUAUGUAAACGCACCAGCAACUUGGUGUUAUAAAACGUGUUGUUGUGUGUGAUUCGAUGAGUGAGUACAAGCAAGCAUUGAGUCGAAGUUUAUCCGUUCCUUUUGCCCAAAGUUGGAUAAAAAGCGAUAUCUGUGGGCCCCUCGAUGAUUUGGUAAUGACACCUAAGCGCUUGGCCAAGCCGGGACUAAUUUGAUGUGUUCAAUUGUAGUCUGUUGUUAGUUGUCAUAAAUCGGAAAUCGGGAAACAACACAUGAACAGAGAGUAUAAUUAAAAUCCAUGUCUCAGUUCAUACGAUAUCUAGAAUGGAGGAAUAUAUGAUCCCUUAUCUAAAGGACGCGUAUCUGAUAAGAUCAGAGUUGACAACGGCUUUUGAAAGCUACGAUUGCUAAUUAGAUUUGAAGUUAUACGCAGAAUAGUUAUUAGACUUAUCCAAGUGGGAGACUAUUGGAUUAGUGUCUAAGUCCAUAACUAUUUUGGUAUGUACUUGACCCGAUUGUAAGCAUGGUCUUUUUGGGUUACCUUCACUAAAGCAACUUGAUAGGAUGAUUUGUGGAGAAACAGAUUAAUUAUAAUUUAUUAGUAUAUUAUGUGAAUAAUAUAUUAUAAGAGAAAUCAUAUUGUUUAAUUAAUAUUAGUAAAGAAUUAAUAAAAUUAAUUUUGUGGCUAAAAGACAUUAAUUAAAUAAAGGGGACUAGAACUGUCAAUUGUGUGAUAAUUGGAUAUUGGGCUAAUGGACUCCAUAAAGGAUGGAGUGGACGAAAUAUAUGGGUAAACCCAUGAGAAUUCGUCCAAGGCCUUUAAGAGGGACUCCAUUGGCUGCUUAGAGCCUAAGCAGCCAGAUUAGGGUUUCCUAGUUCAAAAACCCUAAUGGCCUCACUAUAUAAGGACUCCUAGGGCACCCAAAAACAUGGCUAAGUGUUCCUUAGGGUUUCUUGGACGUUUUGGUGCCUCCUUCUCUUCACCUAAGUCAUCCUCUUGCUCUUGGUGUUUGUGAGCCAUUAAAGGUGUGACAUUUGUGACACUAAGCUUUCAAAAGCAAAUUACAAGGAGGAUUUGAGAUUGUUAUUGCUACAUAACAAUCAAGGUAAGAUCUAAACCCUAUUCUUAUGUUAAUAUCGAUUAUCACAUGAUAGAUCUAGGGUUUAAAGUCUUGGAUGAAUGCAUAUACAAUAUAGAAACCUAGAUCUAAGCAUUAGGGUUUACAUGAGCAUAUAGGAUGUUCUUAUGACCAAAACCCAUCAGAAACACGGUGUGUUACCGAGCCCAACACAUCGUGUUGGGUUGCCUGGUGUCACGAUCUGAUGCCAAGGCGUGGGGAGGAAGUUGUGGCUGAGAUGGUGCCACGUGUCACCUCUGGAACUUAACCCCAAAAUUAAUUAUCUUCUAAAUUUCGUAACUUUCGAAUACGAGCUCCGUUUUUUACGUUCUUUAUAUCCACACAUAGGUAGCGAUGUCAUAUACAACUUUUGUUUAGACUCUAUUGGCUAAUUUUGACUAUAUUUUUUAAGUUAUAUUUUAACAGGCGUAGAGAGUUAAUGUCCAUUAAAAAUUCAUAAUUUUGUCAUCCGACGUCCGUUUUUACUGUCUUUAUAUCAUUGAGCUCCUAUUAAUGAAAUCUUCAACUCUCAUUUAGGUUGUGUCGCCUAAAAAUCGAUCGAUCUAAAAUUGAUUUCCGGGCUAUGCACUGCUAGGCUAAAUCUUAGAAAAAUCAUAACUUCCUCAAACGAAGUCAGAUUUGGACGUUCUUUUAUGUACGUUCUCGGUUUAAUGUAUACUAUGAAUUUUGUUUAGGUCGCUAAGGCUAAAAAGUAUUCGUCAAAAAUUCACUUUUUACGUUACGCGGAGUCGUGCUGGUUUUGUCGCAAAACUUCGACGAGUCAUAACUUCUUCGUUUUAAUUCGGAUUUCAAUGUUCUUUAUAUAUACAGAAUCCUUGUGACAUAUACUAUAAUUUUGGUUAAGAUUAUUUAUGCUAAAUAAUCUUCUAUAAAAAAAACUCAUUUUUAACGCUUAUUAUCUCUAAAUUGACUAACCCGAAUCUGUGGGCGUUACAGCUAACAACGAAGAUUCAAGUUACGUAAGUAAAUAAGGGCAACAAUGUACUUUAAAGAUACCACGAUAUGGAUAGAGUCUAGAGACGAUGUGGAAAAGUAAAUUACUCUUUAUUAUUAGUGACAGAUCAAAUAUUAUUGCAUGAGAAUAGUGUCAUAAGAGAUCCUCCACGACGUGGCCGGUAAAAUGCCAUGAUGUGGCGACGAAACGAACUUAGAAAAGUACGAUCUGUAAACAGAUCAAUCCAAUUAAACACUUCCAUAACACACUCUAAGGUGUAGUUUUCACACACUGAAGCUCUAGAGGUUCGAUUUUAAGGAGAUAAAGAGAUUCAAGCUUCAAUUUUGGUGGAUCAAGGUAAAUAUUGCUACUCUUAAUACAUUGAUUUUGGAUUUAGGGCAAGAUUCUGAAGUUAUUGGUGAAACCCUAGAUGAAGGGUAUGAUUUUAUAUCAUGAAAUUGAAUUAGAGGUUGAUGUCAUAUAGCUUAAUUAUAGACUAUUCUAAUGAUUAUGAACCUUGUAUGUGAAAUUCGAAGAUUGAUAUGAGAAACCAAGUUCAUAGGAUUUAGGGUUCAUAUGCGAAAAGUGUGACCGAAGGAAUGUCCUUAAGUGAUAAAAUAUGAUAUAUGUAACACCAUCCGUUAUACCCGCCACUAACCACUAUAGUGGUGGGGGCCACAUCAUCACCACUAACCUUCACUAAACAUAUGAGAUACCUACCACUAAAUACACUACUCCACCUCAUUUUUUUAAUUAAAUUUAAAUAAAAAAUACAUAAAAAUCAUAUAAUUUUUUUAAAUACUAGUUUUUUAUUAGUUUAAAAUACCAAAUUACAUUAAAUAAAACUACAUUAAUUAAAUAAAAAAUAAACAAAACCACAUCAUCACCACUAACCUUCACUAAACAUAUGAGAUACCUACCACUAAAUACACUACUCCACCUCAUUUUUUUAAUUAAAUUUAAAUAAAAAAUACAUAAAAAUCAUAUAAUUUUUUUAAAUACUAGUUUUUUAUUAGUUUAAAAUACCAAAUUACAUUAAAUAAAACUACAUUAAUUAAAUAAAAAAUAAACAAAACAUUAAAAAUAAAAUUACAUUAAUUGAAAUAAAAAAAAUUAAAAAUUAAUAAUAUUAAAAAUUAAAAACCUAAAAAUACCGAACUUAUGAUUUGUGUUUUAAGCAAGGUUAUUCCAUUUUGAAGAAUUCUUCAACUUUUGUCAAGCUUUGACAUAUCCAAAAUGUUUAUUAUUUUUGUUUUCAUAUUGCUCCAUGGCCACAUUAUCCGGAUCGAUAUCGGCUUCGUGUACGUUGUUUAUAACAAAGUUGUAAAUUCCAUUGACCUCACAACAGUUGACCCUCAUAUCGCGCCACUUCGAGCAUAUUUCAUCAACAUUUCGAAUUGCACAACUCAUUAAACCAUGAAAACACUUUCAACAUUUCUCUAAAACAGACGUUUGACCAGCGCCUUCUUCCGAAACCGUCACCCAUGCUUGUGCUAAUUUCUCUUCUUCCUCUUUUGACCAUUUCUUGUUUUUGGGAGGCAUGGUUUUUGAAAGAACAAACAACAAAAAUGUAUGAAUAUGACUAAAGGGAGAAGAAAUGUGUGAAAAUUAAGAAGAUGGGUGGUAAUAUUUAUAGGUGAAUAUUGGAGAGAAAAAAUAAAAGAAAGUAGUUAUUGUAAGAGGUCAAACAAGAUUUAAAGAAGGAAAUGAAUUGAUUGGGCGUUGCAGUUCGUUGUUGGGAGUAUGAAGGUCCACGAUCACGACCCACAACGAGCCACCGGGAUGGUGUGCACGAUCUAGACCACGACGUCGUUCGUGGCCUCCAUACCGGAAGGCCUAAUGUGUAUGGCAGGUAAUAUGAACCUUUUACGAGUAUUAUAUUGAUAUAUGUUUGGAUUCUUGAUAAAUGUUGAGAUGGUGGCAUGAUAAAUAAUAUGUAUGAGUUGAUAGUAAAUAGGAAAUCCAUAGAAAGGGUUGAACAAAAAACUUCCAAGCUUGGGAUAUCACCUACAUAAUCCCUAGACAAGGUGAGUAACAUCUAACUAACUUAUGAGAUUAUUAACACAUGAUACAUUUGCUUAUUAUGAAAUUAUGAAUGUUUAGAUACGAAUUAUGUGGUUUAUGUAUAAUAUAUAAAUGAUGUAUAAUGAGAAAUAGAUUGAGUAUGAGAAACACACAUGAUGAAUCUGUGAAAGAUGAAUGGAUCAAACUAUGUGUGAGAUCAUUUGGAUAGAGCCGACUUGUUGAGAUUUUGAUUAAUGGGUACAAUGGAUCUAUGAGAGAUAAAAUGAUCAUAUUAUAUGGAUGAGCUAUUCCAUGAGAUUAUUAAAAUGAGAAUAUGAGAAAGAUUGUUCCUUUUCUAAGGAAUAAUGAUCAAAAUGGCGAGUUGCUUAUCAUUUUGAUAUAAUUGAAUUAAUAAAAUAUGGUUAACGAGUAUCUCAUAUCUUGUUAGUAUAUGAUCAUAUGUUGAGUUUGUUAUAAUGGGAUUGAUUAUUACUCACUAAGCUUCCAAACUUAUCAACUUGGAUACUUUUAUUGUUACAGAUACAAGUAUGUCGGACAAGGGAAAGGGUGCGAUGUAGAAGCCAUAGUGUCUUUUGGUAAUCAAACUUUUAAGGAUGUAUUUUGAUAAGGCGUAAACCCGGCAUGAUCUAAUACUUUAUUUUGAUGUAUAUGAUAAUAACUUGUAUGAUAGGUUAAUAUAAUAUACACUCUCUAGUUUAGAAAAAAUCGAGUGUACUUUAUUUUAGUUGGGUGUUACAGAACAAGAUAGGUUGGAAGUAGUUAUGAAGACUCUUGAAGGUGAUGCUCUUUUGUGGUAUGAAUAAGAGAAUCAAAGGAGACCUAUAUGUGAUUGGGAUGAAUUAAAAGGGUUGAUACGUCAUGAUUAGAGAUCCUCACAGCAACCGCAAAGGUUUUCCAGGAAGAAAUACAAUUGGAGCUCUAAUGUAGCCUCAUGGAGAUGAUAGCUCCGUUAAACGACAGACAGGAAGAUGCGCUUCUAGAGUUUUGCAAAAAUGGGCUUAAAAAUUAGACAAAACCUGGGCAAUUAAUAGCACUGAGAUCUUGAUAAAAUCUCGGUUGGAUAGCGUUUCGCGGGUAGUGGCCAUAUAGUGGUUUCAAAUAGCGCUCAAAAUAGCGGGGCCACUAAUAUCUCUGAGAUCAGUCAACAUUGGCCGCUAUUUACCGCUAUUUCUACUCCGAGAACUCGGUUUUUGACCGCUAUUUCAUAAAAUCUAUUUUAGCUAUGCCGAUUGCUUUUUCUAUCUCUUUUUUCCUUCUUCUAUUGAUUAAUUUCAUAUAAGUAAACGAUUAACUUAUUUAUAAGAAAUAUUUAAUUGAUUGAUUUUACUUAAUUCAGUGAAUUGAUUGGAUUUAGAUUUUAGAACAGAGGAACUAUGUAUUUCUCUUCUAUUAAUUAAUUAAUGAAAUAUAUAUUACAUAAUAUUUAAAAACCACUAUCCCACCGCUAUCUCACCACGAGAACCGCUAUUUUAACUCAUGGCAACUGACCGUGAUUAGAUUUUGGACCUUGAUAACUGCAUAAGGAAGAACUUAGCACUUUGGGCUCACAUCAACCGGAUAGAAAACAAACUCGUUGAAAGGUAGCAAUUUAAACUCAAGCCAAUUAUAGCCAAGGAUGAAAGAACUUAAGCUCAAAUGGAUUGAUUGAAUCGACGACAUGCAAAUCAAUUCCACAAUCGACAUCCUUAACACCUUUUACCACCUACACAUCAGUCUUGUCGUUGCAAUUCUACUCAAUUAAAUGAUAGCAUAUGUUGACACAAUUUUUUUUUAUGUUCGUCGAAAAUUGAGAGACCUCACAUAAUGGUGGGAAAGUAUAAGCUACAAUACACUUAUUCUUCCUUAAUUCUUGGUACGUAUCUAUAAUCCUACUAGUUUGUUUUUAUUAGCUUUACCCUUUUCUAUGUAUGAUUCCGCUAUAUAAUAACAUAUAUUCACACAAGCUUAUUGUUUUUUUAUGUCAUAUGACUAUAUAUGUUUAUUAAUAUAUGUAAAGAAUUCUAUUAUUUAUCAAUAUAUACAACUAACACAAUUUAUAUAACCUAGCAAAAUUUUGUUGAGUACUUUUUUCAUCACAUCUAGUAAGAGAUAGCCACAAGUAUUUGCAUUUUAAGAUUAUUAGGCCAUGCUUCCCUUUGAUAUUUUAUUUGGAUAAUAUGAAUUGGUGAGGGUUCUCACUUCUCAAUGAUAUUUUCUUUUCACCUCAUCCUUACCUAAAUUAGAUCACAUGGAAGAGAAGGUUCUCAAUGAUAUUAAAGUAACUUGAAACUAUACCCCCCUUUACUGUAAGACCUAUUGACCAUGUUAUAUCUCAAUCAGAAGGGUAUUAUGGGGAAUAGAAAAAUUCGCUCAAACGUUUCAGGUGUCUUUUAAAACCAACAAAAUAUAAAGAUUAAAAUUAGGCCAUCAGACAUAGUUGCAUGGUUAGAGUUAAUGUGUUCGAAAAAUACAAUCUUUGUAUCAAGUAUAAAAUCAAUUAUAGAUGUAUUCAUUUAUAAGAGCUUAAAUUAUGAACUCCAAUCUCCUAAUAAUACACAUUCAUAAUCACAGAUUUGUUCUACUUUUAGUUCAAAUCAUUUUUAGAAAAUGAUCAUUAAAGGAUUUGAUUUCAAUGUCAUAAACAAAACAAAACCUCAUAAGAACAUGUUUCAAUUAGUGCUAUUUGUACAUUUCUCUCAUCCUAAUGAUAUACCACCAUGAGAACACAUCCUCUACGAAUCAUAAAAUACUCUUACAUAUAAUGACAAGUUAUCAAGAAUGAAGGAACAAAAGCCGAUUUUUUUUUUUUGGCAAAACUAGGGUCGAUUUAUAAACCAUUUGCAAAAGUAGGGCAUUUCAAAAUCUCUUUGUAAAAGUAGGGUCAAUUUAGUUGGCCCAUUGCAAAAAUCAAUUUUUUUUUAUAGAAUUUUCAUUUUCAACCUCUACAACUUAACUUUUCAACCCUUUGACUUCUAUGAUACUUUUUAUUUGUAUCUUAUACUUUAAAUAUUUAUGUUUAUUCUAAUGUUAUCUUAAACAUAGAUAAAUUUAUGUGUUAUUUCUACCAUAUUACCGGUACAAAAAAUUCAUUAAUAUAUUUCAAUUGAUAUCAAUAUCAAUUUCUAAGCAUAUAUUAAAGUGGUGUCAAUAUUUCAGUUGAUAUCAAUAUCAAUUUCUAAGCAUAUAUUAAAGUGGUGUCAAUAUAUAACUUUUUCUUCAGUCUUUUUAAAACUGUUCGUUCCAUUUCGUUCAGAUCAUUUUUAUGUAUAUUUUUAAAAACCCUUUUUUAUAUAAUGUUAUAGAAUUUGAAUGAAAAUACUUUUUAUAUAACUUAAUAUUUUUAAUCAUUUGUGUGAAAAAACUUAAUUAGUUAAUUUUUAUUAUGAAAAAUAUGUAAUGAAAAUAUAGCCCUUAGAUAUUAAAUAUAUUAGUUGUUGAGUUACUUAUNNUAUAAAUUAUUGAUAUAGAUAUGUUGUUUGAUGUAAAACAUUAUUUUUUUUAACUUUUAAAUUGUUAAUAUUUUUUGUUUAUCUAAACAUGAAGUUAAAUUCAAAAGCAUACAAUAAAAUUCUCAAUAUAAACAAUAAUAUAUCCAAAGACUAUUUUUAUAUAUGGUUAAAAAUAUAAAUAUAAUGUUAAAUAUACAACUAAAACUGAAAUGCCAAAUUAAAUAAAAUAUGACAAAAACAUAUUUUUUUAUUAUAUCUGAUUACAAAGAGUAUGUUUAUGGGGUGUUUGGCUUAGCUUUUUAGAUGCCAAAAGUCCUUUUAGAAAAAGAUAGAAAACAAAAGAUGUUUGUUAAAUGCAUUUUAAAAGCUAAUUUUAGAUUUGGAUACAAGUAAAAAUGAACUUUUUGAAAAAGUUAGGAAAACCUGAUUUUUUUUAACUUUAACACCCUUAUAUGGUUAAAAAUAUAAAUUCACCCUAGUUUUGUUAAAUAAAAAAAAAGUCACAAAACCCCCCAUGACGAAAAUUUUAUCAUAUCUAAUGCUAAUACAGAACUAUAGGAAGUGAUUAAUGAUUACCUAAGUGAGGGAUUUUCCAUGGGUUUAUGAACAAAUACGAAUGGAUGAGAUUUUUUGUACUUCUUGACAUCAGGUGCUUGUUGUCCACCACCUAUUUCAAGAGAACCAUGAAAUAAGGGAGUCCUAGAGGAACAUGAUUUCUUCCUGAUUCUUCUCCAAACCUUGCAAGAACCCUGCAACAAGGAAAAAGGUAUAAAUAAAUAAACGAAUAACUCUGAAAUUUAAUAAUUGUAUUCAAAAGGUAAUAAGAUAAAAUAACAAGAGAGUGACAAUAUAGCUAACCUAUCACCAAGAUGGAGAUUUCUUGAGCUUUUAGAGUCACAAGGUUGCAAAACAGGGGAGUCUUACAUUCUGGGAUCUUAAAGCUUGUGAACUCGUUGAUAUCAAGUUGGGCUUGUGGGGGAAUUAUUUGAAGUUGGGGAGGAGAGAUAUGGAUGAAGAUGAUGGAGAGAAUUGUUUCAUACAAAUAGAAUGGUUUGAGUGGGGUGGCAUUAAUGCCAAACUUUGACGAAAGUACCUUGGAAUGGUAUUUGAUGUUGGAUACAUUUCAUCUACAAAGUUAAUCUACAGCUGUGACUCAUAUGGCUCUACAAAU